CCUCUCAGGAGGAAACCUGAGGCAAAAUGUCUGUCUUCUAAUUUCUCUUUCUUUUUAAAAAAUUUUUAUUUAUUCGGCUGCACCAGGUCUUAGUUGCAGCAAGCAGGAUCUUUGAUCUUUAGUUGUGGCAUGCAGGAUUUAGUUCCCUGACCAGGGAUCAAACCCAGGCCACCAGCAUUUGCAGCAAGAGCCUUAGCCUCUGGACCACCAGGGAAGUCCCCAUCUUUUAAUUUCUUACAUGGUAAAAAGCAAGCACAACAUGGUUGACUGGCAUAACUUGCCAACUCUUCAAUUUUGUAGCACUUCCUGAAUACCUACUGUGUGUCCAGGUUUCUGCUGGAAGAGACAAGUCACCACCUGGUUCUGCCCUGAAGAGGACUGUUGGAAGAAAAAGCUUGGAGAAACCUGAGUGAAGCUUUGCAGUGGAUAGGAUGUGGGUUGGCCAGAGAGAGAGGUGUGCCGGGCAGCCGCGGGCCAGCCUAGUGAGUAAAUGGCUGAAGUGGGAAGUUUAUCUGGGCUACAGUUUAUUCAGGAGAUAGAGGAGAGGGAAUCAGGGUGGGGCCCACAUAGGAAUGCCUUGAAUAUCUGUUAAGUCUGAGGUUAACGCAGUUGAUGGGGAGGUAAUGUUGCAGAAUUCCCAGCAGGCAAUGUGCAGUGUGGCUCAAGAGGAAAGGAGCCUACAGACAGCAGUCCAAGAUCCGGGUUCUGAGGAUCUGGGAGAAGUAAGGGAUACAGCAAACACACUGGAUGGGAGUCCUGGGCUCUAGUCCUGGUUCUGCUGUAGGGCCUUGAACAAAUCACUUCUGGGCCUUUCCUUAACUCUAAAAUCUAAAAACCUUCUGCGACCUCUGCAAUCUGAUGCUCAAUAGAUACUUGAGUCCCCAGGAUAUUGGAAAUGAAGGGAAUCGCCAAUCUAAAGGAAACUGCGAACCAGGAAGUGCCUGAUCGAGAGUCCAGGGUUAAAGAGCGAGGAGAGACUGCAGAGGGUCCAGCGAGGAGAAAUGGGGAACUGCGCGGGUGGGGGUGGGAGGCAGAGAAGUUGCAGAUGAGCACAGAGAUCUCAGCUUCACAACUCUGAGCCGUCAGUGUUUGCACUUAAUAGAAUACCUCUGGGUUUCCUAAGCACUUUUCGGCUUUUUGUAAUGGACUGGAAAAUUUGAGCAAUGCUGUUACUGGUUAAGUAUUUUUGUUUUUUUGAGAUUCGUCUUAAAGAUGACAUUGGGGCUUUACUGGAAACCCUCCCACCUCCAAACUGGCAGAGACCCCUCCCACCCAGUAUAGGAAACUGAUAGCUCAGUGUCCAGGACGGCUGAUCUAUGGGCUCUGGAAGAAGUAACUCCAGCCUGUUCACAGCAGNNNNNNNNNNNNNNNNNNNNNNNNNNNNNNNNNNNNNNNNNNNNNNNNNNNNNNNNNNNNNNNNNAAGUAACUCCAGCCUGUUCACAGCAGGGGAAUGGAGUGACUCAAAAGGGGAGGGUGCAUCACAGUCACGGUUCCUGUGAUGUGAAAGGUGUGCUUUUUGUGAUAUGAUUUGAUGGUGAUUUCAUUUACAAGGCAUUCAGUUAGCAAUGCGGAAAGUUCUCACUGCCUUUCUCCCCCUUGUUUUUAAAGUUCAUCCAUACUUUUAGUAAUUACUUUUUAAUACCUACUAUUUUUGAGGCACUGGGUAGACAGCAUAAAUGGUGAUCCCUGCUUUCAGGAAGCCCAGAGCCUUCUGGGGAGAUAGACAGUAAACACACCAUGAAUAUUCAUUGGAAGGACUGAUGCUGAAGCUGAAGCUUUAAUACUUU
RNAcentral lists this long non-coding RNA (1788 nucleotides) under Capra hircus (goat). RNAcentral describes it as "lncRNA (ENSCHIG00010011931.1)". The record is from RNAcentral. Lineage: Eukaryota; Metazoa; Chordata; Mammalia; Artiodactyla; Bovidae.